UCUCUUUGUUCUUACAGGCUUCAUCUGCCCCCGGGGAAGAACACAGAUCCUACUGCUGUGGAGUUGGGGGUGAGGACAGCAGCCUGUUUCUCUUACAGAGACAUCCAUGUUCUAUGAGCAGAGUUUUAGGCAAAGGAAACAAGAAGUAAUAUUUUCUAUAAAGAUAAAAUGAGAAAGCUGCCAAGAUUUUUAACUAUCCCUUCUCCAGAUCAGAAUACUCAUCAGCUCAAAAACCAAGAGGAAAUCUUGAGGAUCCUUAACUAUGGUAUGGUCUUCUACUUCUCCAUCGAAUUUCCCAUAUCUUAGCAUUAUGUUAUAGGAGCAACAGAAUAAUCUCCAUGUGUGCAAGAAUGCUACUCAAGGCCUUGGACACAUCCUGGAGAUCCAUGUCAUGGCUCCAACCCUUAGCAGCUGUUUGAUUCCACGAGCCUGUUUUCCUGUCGGGAAGGGGCAUCUGAAGGCAGGGCUCCUGUCCUGGGACGGACGCAUCAUCGUUUCCAGCUCUGUCCCAGAUGCAAGAACCUGGAUGCCAAAUCCAUCCUCUCUGGGUGAAGUGGGAAUGUGUGAGGACGACAGGUCUAAGUCCAAAUUAAAUAAAAAGACACACUCACAGAAAAG
This 618-nucleotide long non-coding RNA is filed under the name Equus caballus (horse). RNAcentral's name for it is "lncRNA (ENSECAG00000039400.3)". Lineage: Eukaryota; Metazoa; Chordata; Mammalia; Perissodactyla; Equidae. The record is from RNAcentral.